This 247-nucleotide ribosomal RNA is filed under the name uncultured bacterium. Its description in RNAcentral is "partial 16S ribosomal RNA". It matches the Rfam family "Bacterial small subunit ribosomal RNA", at positions 91 to 334 of the family's 1533-position model. The record is from RNAcentral.
AUUAGUGGCGAACGGGUGAGUAAUACGUGAGUGACCUACCUUUGACUCUGGGAUAAGCCUGGGAAACUGGGUCUAAUACCGGAUACGACCAAUCUCUGCAUGGGGUGUUGGUGGAAAGCGUUAUGGAGUGGUUUUAGAUGGGCUCACGGCCUAUCAGCUUGUUGGUGAGGUAAUGGCUUACCAAGGCGACGACGGGUAGCCGGCCUGAGAGGGUGACCGGCCACACUGGGACUGAGACACGGCCCAG